AGGAAAGAGGAGAGAUUUGUAUGCUUGCAACCUCAGAAAAAAAUGCUAAAACCAUUAAU
Molecule: regulatory RNA element, 59 nt
Organism: Bacteroidetes oral taxon 274 str. F0058
Lineage: Bacteria; Pseudomonadati; Bacteroidota
Source: Rfam